AAGUCGUAACAAGGUUUCCGUAGGUGAACCUGCGGAAGGAUCAUUUCCAAAAAAAAAAAAAUGAACAUUUAUAUACACCGUAUCUGGUGUGUGAAGUGUGUGGUGGUAUCCAAAACAUUUUUUAAUUUACUCUCUCUGACAACAUGGUCAUCGCGUAUGCCAAGUUUGGAAGAGAGAGGCCUUGAUGAACCACAUCCGCAAAUGUAUUGGCGUUUGUUUGUCUAAACAAACAACACUAUACAUCAUCGGACGUUAACAUUAUACUGUCUCGAUAUAUUUCUACUCGGAUUUGCACUUGUUGCCCUAAGGCACCAGGUCAAAACCAACAACACAAAAGUACCAAUAUACAGACAACUUUUAACGGUGGAUCUCUUGGCUCGU
RNAcentral lists this unclassified non-coding RNA (381 nucleotides) under fungal sp. Its description in RNAcentral is "partial internal transcribed spacer region". The stretch from base 1 to 46 matches the Rfam family "Eukaryotic small subunit ribosomal RNA", at positions 1786 to 1831 of the family's 1831-position model. The record is from RNAcentral. Lineage: Eukaryota; Fungi.